CGGAUUUAUUGGGUUUAAAGGGUGCGUAGGCGGCUUUGUAAGUCAGUGGGGAAAUAUGGCAGCUCAACUGUCAGGGUGCCAUUGAUACUGCGGAGCUUGAGUACAGAUGAGGUAGGCGGAAUUGACGGUGUAGCGGUGAAAUGCUUAGAUAUCGUCAAGAACACCGAUAGCGAAGGCAGCUUACUGGGCUGUAACUGACGCUGAGGCACGAAAGUGUGGGGAUCAAACAGG
Molecule: ribosomal RNA, 231 nt
Filed under: uncultured bacterium
Lineage: Bacteria
Description: partial 16S ribosomal RNA
Rfam family: Bacterial small subunit ribosomal RNA
Source: RNAcentral